This 405-nucleotide ribosomal RNA is filed under the name uncultured bacterium. Its description in RNAcentral is "partial 16S ribosomal RNA". It matches the Rfam family "Bacterial small subunit ribosomal RNA", at positions 28 to 526 of the family's 1533-position model. The record is from RNAcentral.
GACGAACGCUGGCGGCGUGCUUAACACAUGCAAGUCGAGCGGAGCGACGAACGAGGGAGUAACGCGUAAGUAACUACCCCCCUCUCUGGGAUAACAGUUGGAAACGGCUUCGAAUACCGGAUAGUUGGGGAUGACUCGCGUCCUAUCAGCUUGUUGGUGGGGUAGUGGCCUACCAAGGCGAAGACGGGUAGCCGGCCUGAGAGGGCGACCGGCCACAUUGGGCUGGGAUACUGCCCAAACUCCUACGGGAGGCAGCAGUGGGGUAUAGUGCACAAUGGGGGGAACCCUGAUGCAGCAACGCCGCGUGCGGGAUGACGGCCUUCGGGUUGUAAACCGCUUUCAGCCAUGACGCGGUAGUGGCAGAAGAAGCACCGGCUAACUACGUGCCAGCAGCCGCGGUAAUAC